Molecule: ribosomal RNA, 467 nt
Filed under: uncultured bacterium
Lineage: Bacteria
Description: partial 16S ribosomal RNA
Rfam family: Bacterial small subunit ribosomal RNA
Source: RNAcentral
GACGAACGCUGGCGGCGUGCUUAACACAUGCCAGUCGAACGGAAAGGCCCUGCUUUUGUGGGGUGCUCGAGUGGCGAACGGGUGAGUAACACGUGAGUAACCUGCCCUUGACUUUGGGAUAACUUCAGGAAACUGGGGCUAAUACCGGAUAGGAGCUCCUGCUGCAUGGUGGGGGUUGGAAAGUUUCGGCGGUUGGGGAUGGACUCGCGGCUUAUCAGCUUGUUGGUGGGGUAGUGGCUUACCAAGGCUUUGACGGGUAGCCGGCCUGAGAGGGUGACCGGCCACAUUGGGACUGAGAUACGGCCCAGACUCCUACGGGAGGCAGCAGUGGGGAAUAUUGCACAAUGGGCGGAAGCCGGACGCAGCAACGCCGCGUGCGGGAUGACGGCCUUCGGGUUGUAAACCGCUUUCGCCUGUGACGAAGCGUGAGUGACGGUAAUGGGGAAAGAAGCACCGGCUAACUACGU